This is a long non-coding RNA of Hypanus sabinus (Atlantic stingray), 1793 nucleotides long. RefSeq lists it as uncharacterized. The record is from RefSeq and is a predicted model, not a curated record. Lineage: Eukaryota; Metazoa; Chordata; Chondrichthyes; Myliobatiformes; Dasyatidae. The transcript has 3 exons.
UGUUGACAAAAAGAUCGCAGUCUGUCCAUGGCAGCAACAACAUCUCAAGCUCCAUCGCACUGAGCACUGGUGCCCCCCAGGAUUGUAUGCUCAGCCCGCUGCUGUUCACACUACUAACUCACAACUUCACUGCAAGAUCCAGCUCACUGGUACCACAGUGGUCAGUCACAUCAGCAACAAAGAUGAGUCAGCAUACAGAGAGGAGGUAAAGAGACUUUUCAAGUGGUACAAGAACAGCAACCUGAGUUUCAACAUGGACAAGACAAAAGAGAUGAUUGUGGGCUUCAGGAAGGCACAGCUCAACUAGUCUCCAUUGCACAUCAAUGGCUCUGCCAUGGAGAGAGUGAAGAGCACAAAGUUCCCUGGUCUGCACUUAACGAAAUAUCUAAUCUGAUCUCACAACACCUCCUCACUGGUGAAGAAGGCACAGCAGCUUCAACACUUUAUGAGGAGAUUGAGUAAUGCAAGGCUUUCUGCCCUACCCCCCAUUCUAACAACUUUCUACAGGAACACCACUGAGAGUGUCCUUACUCAACGCACCAUUGUGCGGAUUGGAAGCUGCAGGGCCCUACAGAGGACAGUAAAAACCCGAACAGCAAGGCCCUACAGAGGACAGUAAAAACCCGAACAGCAAGGCUCUACAGAGGACAGUAAAAACCCGAACAGCAAGGCCCUACAGAGGACAGUAAAAACCCGAACAGCAAGGCCCUACAGAGGACAGUAAAAACCCGAACAGCAAGGCCCUACAGAGGACAGUAAAAACCCGAACAGCAAGGCCCUACAGAGGACAGUAAGAACCCGAACAGCAAGGCCCUACAGAGGACAGUAAGAACCCGAACAGCAAGGCCCUACAGAGGACAGUAAGAACCCGAACAGCAAGGCCCUACAGAGGACAGUAAAAACCCGAACAGCAAGGCCCUACAGAGGACAGUAAAAACCCGAACAGCAAGGCCCUACAGAGGACAGUAAAAACCCGAACAGCAAGGCCCUACAGAGGACAGUAAAAUUCCGAACAGCAAAGCCCUACAGAGGACAGUAAAAACCCGAACAGCAAGGCCCUACAGAGGACAGUAAAAACCCGAACAGCAAGGCCCUACAGAGGACAAUAAGAACCCGAACAGCAAGGCCCUACAGAGGACAGUAAGAACCCGAACAGCAAGGCCCUACAGAGGACAGUAAAAACCAUCGAGAGGAUCACUAAGAUUUCCCUCUCCUCUAUUCGUGACAUUUACUAUGAGUGUUGCAGGCAAAGGGUCCAAAGCAUUGUUGAGAAUCCCUACACCCAUCCCACAAUCUCUUUAACCCACUGCUAUCAGGAAGGAGGUUGAGAAGCAUUAAGACUGGGACUGCCAUACAUCUUCCCUCAGUCUGUGAGGCUUGUGAAUGCCCUCCCAUCACUGAGGGUCUCGCCACUAGGAGGAGGAGCUGUUUAUUGUUUACCUGCGCAGUGCACUACAUGCAUUUUGAAUUAUAUUUCAUUAGCUUAUUUAUGAACCUCUGGGUCACAAUAUCACCCAGUCCAACAGGUCGAAACCCUGCAUCAGGACUGAGACUGCAGAGACAAGAUGGCUGGUAUAAAGAGGAGAAGAGGAGUGGCAAGAAUGGCUUCUAAUAUAACUGGUGGACUGAGGAGGCAGGCAGAGGAGGAGAUGGAAACAGAGUCUACAGAAGUGAAGUAAAACAGCAGCAAGGUCAUGCACCCUGUACAGAUUACAGCAAAGGAGCUGUGUGCUGCUUUGAGGCAAUUCAGAGCGGACAGAUUCCCAGAGCCUGACAACAUUUUCCUUGGACCC